Molecule: ribosomal RNA, 421 nt
Filed under: uncultured bacterium
Lineage: Bacteria
Description: bacterial SSU rRNA
Rfam family: Bacterial small subunit ribosomal RNA
Source: RNAcentral
UUUUGGACAAUGGGCGCAAGCCUGAUCCAGCCAUGCCGCGUGCGGGAAGAAGGCCUUCGGGUUGUAAACCGCUUUUGUCAGGGAAGAAAAGGUUCUGGUUAAUACCAGGGCCACAUGACGGUACCAGAAGAAUAAGCACCUGCUAACUACGUGCCAGCAGCCGCGGUAAUACGUAGGGUGCAAGCGUUAAUCGGAAUUACUGGGCGUAAAGCGUGCGCAGGCGGUUAUGCAAGACAGAGGUGAAAUCCCCGGGCUCAACCUGGGAACUGCCUUUGUGACUGCAUAGCUAGAGUACGGUAGAGGGGGAUGGAAUUCCGCGUGUAGCAGUGAAAUGCGUAGAUAUGCGGAGGAACACCGAUGGCGAAGGCAAUCCCCUGGACCUGUACUGACGCUCAUGCACGAAAGCGUGGGGAGCAAACAG